This 429-nucleotide ribosomal RNA is filed under the name bacterium. Its description in RNAcentral is "partial 16S ribosomal RNA". It matches the Rfam family "Bacterial small subunit ribosomal RNA", at positions 355 to 776 of the family's 1533-position model. The record is from RNAcentral.
UAGGGAAUCUUCGGCAAUGGGGGCAACCCUGACCGAGCAACGCCGCGUGAGUGAAGAAGGUUUUCGGAUCGUAAAGCUCUGUUGUAAGAGAAGAACGUGUGUGAGAGUGGAAAGUUCACACAGUGACGGUAACUUACCAGAAAGGGACGGCUAACUACGUGCCAGCAGCCGCGGUAAUACGUAGGUCCCGAGCGUUGUCCGGAUUUAUUGGGCGUAAAGCGAGCGCAGGCGGUUUAAUAAGUCUGAAGUUAAAGGCAGUGGCUUAACCAUUGUUCGCUUUGGAAACUGGUAAACUUGAGUGCAGAAGGGGAGAGUGGAAUUCCAUGUGUAGCGGUGAAAUGCGUAGUUAUAUGGAGGAACACCGGUGGCGAAAGCGGCUCUCUAGUCUGUAACUGACGCUGAGGCUCGAAAGCGUGGGGAGCAAACAGG